GCCUGGGCUCAAAGCUGUUUUAUGGGCAGGAGAACCAAGGCAGAGAGAUGACAGGAGGGGCCUAAACCAGGAGCCAGCUUCUGCCAGGAGAGGAGCUGAACUCCAGGAUCCAGUUCUCAGCCAAGGCCCUUCUCCCCCCAUGACUGCUGACUCAGGAAGUCCCCACGCUGCUGGAAGCACUGAGGAAUCACCUAGAAGGAUUGCUCUCUGUCCGCAUCGUUUCUUAC
Molecule: long non-coding RNA, 227 nt
Organism: Oxyura jamaicensis (ruddy duck)
Lineage: Eukaryota; Metazoa; Chordata; Aves; Anseriformes; Anatidae
Exons: 2
Source: RefSeq, a predicted model, not a curated record